Pelobates cultripes (western spadefoot toad) is the source of this 273-nucleotide non-coding RNA. The record is from the annotation of a GenBank genome assembly. Lineage: Eukaryota; Metazoa; Chordata; Amphibia; Anura; Pelobatidae.
CUGGUUUAAAAUCUCCUCCAACCUUCUAGCCAUCCUAUCCCCCAGCACUGCAGACCCUCUCCCAUUUAGGUGCAAUCCAUCACCACUAUAGAGGUUGUACCCAAUCGCAAAGUCAGCCCAGUUCUCUAAAAACCCAAAACCCUCCUUCCUGCACCAAGACUUCAGCCACGCAUUGACCUCUCUAAUCUCCCACUGCGUUUCCACUGUAGCGCGUGGCACAGGAAGUGUUUAUAGUCAUGCUGCCCAAGCCAAACAAACACCCGACGAUCUGUG